GGACCCGCACAAGCGGUGGAGUAUGUGGUUUAAUUCGAUGCAACACGAAGAACCUUACCAGGGUUUGAAAUCAUUUCAAAACUCCUUGAAAGAGGAGCCUCCUUCGGGAUGAAAUGACAGGUGGUGCAUGGCUGUCGUCAGCUCGUGUUGUGAAAUGUCGAGUUAAGUCUCGUAACGAGCGCAACCCAUGUCUCUUGUUGCUCACUGAGUGCUUAAGAGAGACUGCCGACCAACAUCGGAGGAAGGUGUGGAUGAUGUCAAGUCAGCAUGCCCCUUACAUCCUGGGCUACACACGUACUACAAUGGUAGGGACAAUGAGCUGCGAUCCUGCGAAGGCUAGCCAAUCUCAAAAACCCUAUCUCAGUUCGGAUUGUACUCUGCAACUCGAGUACAUGAAGGUGGAAUC
This 406-nucleotide ribosomal RNA is filed under the name uncultured bacterium. Its description in RNAcentral is "bacterial SSU rRNA". It matches the Rfam family "Bacterial small subunit ribosomal RNA", at positions 917 to 1333 of the family's 1533-position model. The record is from RNAcentral.